RNAcentral lists this ribosomal RNA (493 nucleotides) under uncultured bacterium. RNAcentral describes it as "partial 16S ribosomal RNA". It matches the Rfam family "Bacterial small subunit ribosomal RNA", at positions 28 to 523 of the family's 1533-position model. The record is from RNAcentral.
GAUGAACGCUAGCGGGAGGCCUAACACAUGCAAGCCGAGCGGUAUUGUUUCUUCGGAAAUGAGAGAGCGGCGUACGGGUGCGUAACACGUGUGCAACCUGCCUUUAUCUGGGGGAUAACCUUUCGAAAGCAAGAUUAAUACUCAUAAUAUAUUGAACGGCAUCGUUUAAUAUUGAAAGCUCCGGCGGAUAGAGAUGGGCACGCGCAAGAUUAGCUAGUUGGUGAGGUAACGGCUCACCAAGGCGAUGAUCUUUAGGGGGCCUGAGAGGGUGAUCCCCCACACUGGUACUGAGACACGGACCAGACUCCUACGGGAGGCAGCAGUGAGGAAUAUUGGUCAAUGGGUGCAAGCCUGAACAGCCAUCCCGCGUGAAGGACGACUGCCCUAUGGGUUGUAAACUUCUCUUGUAUAGGGAUAAACCUACCCUCGUGAGGGUAGCUGAAGGUACUAUACGAAUAAGCACCGGCUAACUCCGUGCCAGCCGCCGCCGUAA